UGUCCAGGGGCGGGAAUCGAACCCACAACCUUCUGCUUACCGGGCAGGUGCCAUGUCCACUAGGCUACCGC
Non-coding RNA from Cordylochernes scorpioides, 71 nucleotides. Lineage: Eukaryota; Metazoa; Arthropoda; Arachnida; Pseudoscorpiones; Chernetidae. The record is from the annotation of a GenBank genome assembly.